UCAAGCGAAUAAGCGCACACGGUGGAUGCCUUGGCGGUCAGAGGCGAUGAAGGACGUGGCAGCCUGCGAAAAGUAUCGGGGAGCUGGCAACAAGCUUUGAUCCGGUAAUGUCCGAAUGGGGAAACCCACCCGCUUGCGGGUAUCCUGCAGUGAAUACAUAGCUGCUGGAAGCGAACCUGGUGAACUGAAAUAUCUAAGUAACCAGAGGAAAAGAAAUCAACCGAGAUUCCGUAAGUAGCGACGAGCGAACGCGGACUAGCCCUUAAGCUGGAUUGGUUCUAGGAAAACGCUCUGGAAAGAGCGGCCAUAGAAGGUGAUAGCCCUGUAUCUGAAAGGGCCAUUCCAGUGAAGACGAGUAGGGCGGGGCACGUGAAACCCUGUCUGAACAUGGGGGGACCAUCCUCCAAGGCUAAAUACUACUGACCGACCGAUAGUGAACCAGUACCGUGAGGGAAAGGCGAAAAGAACCCCGGAGAGGGGAGUGAAAUAGAACCUGAAACCGUGUGCGUACAAGCAGUAGGAGCUCCGCAAGGAGUGACUGCGUACCUUUUGUAUAAUGGGUCAGCGACUUACUGUUCGUGGCAAGCUUAACCGUAUAGGGGAGGCGAAGGGAAACCGAGUCUGAUAAGGGCGCAUAGUCGCGGGCAGUAGACCCGAAACCGGGUGAUCUAGUCAUGCCCAGGGUGAAGGUGCGGUAACACGCACUGGAGGCCCGAACCCACUCCCGUUGCAAAGGUAGGGGAUGAGGUGUGAUUAGGAGUGAAAAGCUAAUCGAACCCGGAGAUAGCUGGUUCUCCUCGAAAGCUAUUUAGGUAGCGCCUCAUAUGUAUCCUCUCGGGGGUAGAGCACUGUUAUGGCUAGGGGGUCAUCGCGACUUACCAAACCAUUGCAAACUCCGAAUACCGAGACGGACUGUAUGGGAGACACACGGCGGGUGCUAACGUCCGUCGUGAAAAGGGAAACAACCCAGACCCACAGCUAAGGUCCCAAAUUCACUGCUAAGUGGAAAACCAUGUGGAAAGGCACAGACAGCCAGGAGGUUGGCUUAGAAGCAGCCACCCUUUAAAGAAAGCGUAAUAGCUCACUGGUCGAGUCGGUCUGCGGGGAAGAUUUAACGGGGCUAAGCAGUGAACCGAAGCUUGGGGUGCAUAACUUUGUUAUGCGCGGUAGAGGAGCGUUCCGUAAGCCGUUGAAGGUGGAUUGAGAAGUCUGCUGGAGGUAUCGGAAGUGCGAAUGCUGACAUGAGUAACGAUAAUGCGGGUGAAAAACCCGCACGCCGAAAGCCCAAGGUUUCCUUGCGCAACGUUAAUCGGCGCAGGGUGAGUCGGCCCCUAAGGCGAGGACGAAAGUCGUAGUCGAUGGGAAGCAGGUUAAUAUUCCUGCACCUCGCGUAAGUGCGAUGGAGGGACGGAGAAGGUUAGGUGUACCAGGCGUUGGUUGUCCUGGGGAAAGGCGGUAGGUUUGGAUCUUUGGCAAAUCCGGGAUCCUUUAAGACCGAGCACCGAGACGAGCCUUUAUGGCGAAGUCACUGAUACCACGCUUCCAGGAAAAGCUCCUAAGCUUCAGCUUACGCAGACCGUACCGUAAACCGACACAGGUGGGUAGGAUGAGAAUUCUCAGGCGCUUGAGAGAACUCGGGUGAAGGAACUAGGCAACAUGGCACCGUAACUUCGGGAGAAGGUGCACCCUUUUUGGUGGCUCGUGCGAGCUAUAGCUGAAGAGGGUCGCAGUAACCAGGCCGCUGCGACUGUUUAUCAAAAACACAGCACUCUGCAAACACGAAAGUGGACGUAUAGGGUGUGACGCCUGCCCGGUGCUGGAAGGUUAAUUGAUGGGGUCAGCCGCAAGGCGAAGCUCUUGAUCGAAGCCCCAGUAAACGGCGGCCGUAACUAUAACGGUCCUAAGGUAGCGAAAUUCCUUGUCGGGUAAGUUCCGACCUGCACGAAUGGCGUAACGACAGCGGCGCUGUCUCCACCCGAGACUCAGUGAAAUUGAAAUCGCUGUGAAGAUGCAGCGUUCCCGUGGCAAGACGGAAAGACCCCGUGAACCUUUACUAUAGCUUUACACUGAACGUUGAGUUCGUCUGUGUAGGAUAGGUGGGAGGCUAUGAAACUGUGGCGCUAGCUGCAGCAGAGCCAUCCUUGAAAUACCACCCUGUCGUGCUUGACGUUCUAACCUGGGCCCAUUAUCUGGGUCGGGGACCGUGUAUGGUGGGUAGUUUGACUGGGGCGGUCUCCUCCUAAAGAGUAACGGAGGAGCUCGAAGGUACGCUCAGCGCGGUCGGACAUCGCGCACUGUGUGCAAAGGCAUAAGCGUGCUUGACUGCAAGAUCGACGGAUCAAGCAGGUAGGAAACUAGGACUUAGUGAUCCGGUGGUUCUGUAUGGAAGGGCCAUCGCUCAACGGAUAAAAGGUACUCCGGGGAUAACAGGCUGAUACCGCCCAAGAGUUCAUAUCGACGGCGGUGUUUGGCACCUCGAUGUCGGCUCAUCACAUCCUGGGGCUGUAGUCGGUCCCAAGGGUAUGGCUGUUCGCCAUUUAAAGUGGUACGCGAGCUGGGUUCAGAACGUCGUGAGACAGUUCGGUCCCUAUCUGCCAUGGGCGUUGGAGAUUUGAGAGGGGCUGCUCCUAGUACGAGAGGACCGGAGUGGACGAACCUCUGGUGUUCCGGUUGUCACGCCAGUGGCAUUGCCGGGUAGCUAUGUUCGGAAGCGAUAACCGCUGAAAGCAUCUAAGCGGGAAGCGCGCCUCAAGAUGAGAUCUCCCGGGGCACAAGCCCCCUGAAGGAACCAUGUAGACUACGUGGUUGAUAGGUCAGGUGUGUAAGUACAGCAAUGUAUUGAGCUAACUGAUACUAAUGAUCCGUGCGGCUUGACCAU
RNAcentral lists this ribosomal RNA (2878 nucleotides) under Stenotrophomonas maltophilia. RNAcentral's name for it is "bacterial LSU rRNA". It matches the Rfam family "Bacterial large subunit ribosomal RNA". The record is from RNAcentral. Lineage: Bacteria; Pseudomonadati; Pseudomonadota; Gammaproteobacteria; Lysobacterales; Lysobacteraceae.